UACGAAGGGGGCUAGCGUUGCUCGGAAUCACUGGGCGUAAAGCGCACGUAGGCGGACUCUUAAGUCGGUGGUGAAAUCCUGGAGCUCAACUCCAGAACUGCCUUCGAUACUGGGAGUCUCGAGUUCGGGAGAGGUGAGUGGAACUGCGAGUGUAGAGGUGAAAUUCGUAGAUAUUCGUAAGAACACCAGUGGCGAAGGCGGCUCACUGGCCCGAUACUGACGCUGAGGUGCGAAAGCGUGGGGAGCAAACAGG
RNAcentral lists this ribosomal RNA (253 nucleotides) under uncultured bacterium. RNAcentral describes it as "partial 16S ribosomal RNA". It matches the Rfam family "Bacterial small subunit ribosomal RNA", at positions 524 to 776 of the family's 1533-position model. The record is from RNAcentral.